UGGGAGGGGUGGAGCCAGGAUCCGCCCUUUCCCAGACAUCAUUUAAGGGUUGGCAGGGGGGAGGUAAGGGUAUUUUGCUGGAGCUCCCUGUGUGCCUGAGGCCUUCUAGAGCUAUUAUCUUGACUGUGAUUUACUCCCCUCAAAUCAUUAACAAUGCUAUUAAAAAGGUGGAUAUAGAUGAACAUUCUGGAUAGUGUGCAGGAAAAUAAUAAAAUUAUGGCUGAGGGUCAAGAAUGAAGCUGAAAAACAACCGCUUUUAGGGGACAGAGACAGGGGACUGUAAAGGAACAGGCAUCUGAGAGGAGAUGAAAUGAAGAGGAUGAAAUACAGCAAAACCCAUGAUCUCAUUUGGUCCGGUUCCUUACGGUAGCUGAAGUGCUUUUGUGGUAAGAUUCCUUCUUUCUUUCCCCAAAUGCUGCAGUUUAAUCUGAGUUCUGAAGAGACAUUCAUUUCCUGAAAGGCACAGUCAUCUAGAAUCACACAGCUUUUCCUCACAAUGAAAAUAUGUGUGUACAUCAUGAAGAAGAUAAAUACAUGUACGAAUUAGAGUCCCC
This is a long non-coding RNA of Gallus gallus (chicken), 554 nucleotides long. The record is from Ensembl. Lineage: Eukaryota; Metazoa; Chordata; Aves; Galliformes; Phasianidae.